GACGUAGGGCGCAAGCGUUGUCCGGAUUUAUUGGGCGUAAAGAGCUCGUAGGCGGCUUAUUGCGUCGUCCGUGAAAACCCGUGGCUCAACUGCGGGCUUGCGGACGAUACGGGCAGGCUGGAGUUCGGUAGGGGAGACUGGAAUUCCUGGUGUAGCGGUGAAAUGCGCAGAUAUCAGGAGGAACACCGGUGGCGAAGGCGGCAUCCUGGACCGGCAUUGACGCUGAGGAGCGAAAGCCAGGGGAGCAAACGGG
This 253-nucleotide ribosomal RNA is filed under the name uncultured bacterium. RNAcentral describes it as "partial 16S ribosomal RNA". It matches the Rfam family "Bacterial small subunit ribosomal RNA", at positions 524 to 776 of the family's 1533-position model. The record is from RNAcentral.